CGGUCACGUUCGUUGCAUUCUUAACUAUUAUAAUACAUAUAAAAUAUAAUAAUUUAUAUUUUGUUCGUAUUGUUUUUUAUUUAUGAAACGCAAUUAAGCAGACAAAUCAAUCCACGAACUAAGAACGGCCAUGCACCACCUAUCACAUAAUCAUGAAAGAACUAUCAUAUUUAUUAAAUUAAUCUGUCAAUCCUUAAUGUGUCCGGACCUGGUAAGAUUUCCCGUGUUGGGUCAAAUUAAGCCACAUGUUCCAC
This 254-nucleotide ribosomal RNA is filed under the name Foraminifera environmental sample. RNAcentral describes it as "partial small subunit ribosomal RNA". The record is from RNAcentral. Lineage: Eukaryota; Foraminifera.